Molecule: long non-coding RNA, 192 nt
Organism: Neopelma chrysocephalum (saffron-crested tyrant-manakin)
Lineage: Eukaryota; Metazoa; Chordata; Aves; Passeriformes; Pipridae
Exons: 3
Source: RefSeq, a predicted model, not a curated record
GAGAUCACACCUGUACACACCAGCGCAUCGGGCCCAUCCUGGGCAGUGGGACGCUGCAGACGGAGGUGAAGCCGGUGCUGGAGAAGUUGACGCAGGACCAGGACGUCGACGUCAAGUAUUUCGCACAGGAGGCACUGACAGUGCUGGCCUUGGCCUGACCCCCCCCGGGACCCUCCCGCAUGUGACCAGCGC